This 253-nucleotide ribosomal RNA is filed under the name uncultured bacterium. Its description in RNAcentral is "partial 16S ribosomal RNA". It matches the Rfam family "Bacterial small subunit ribosomal RNA", at positions 524 to 776 of the family's 1533-position model. The record is from RNAcentral.
UACGGGGGGGGCAAGCGUUGUUCGGAAUUACUGGGCGUAAAGGGCUCGUAGGCGGCCAACUAAGUCAGACGUGAAAUCCCUCGGCUUAACCGGGGAACUGCGUCUGAUACUGGAUGGCUUGAGUUUGGGAGAGGGAUGCGGAAUUCCAGGUGUAGCGGUGAAAUGCGUAGAUAUCUGGAGGAACACCGGUGGCGAAGGCGGCAUCCUGGACCAACACUGACGCUGAGGAGCGAAAGCCAGGGGAGCAGACGGG